RNAcentral lists this small RNA (783 nucleotides) under Levilactobacillus brevis. Its description in RNAcentral is "bacterial LSU rRNA". The stretch from base 285 to 783 matches the Rfam family "Bacterial large subunit ribosomal RNA", at positions 1 to 494 of the family's 2925-position model. The record is from RNAcentral. Lineage: Bacteria; Bacillati; Bacillota; Bacilli; Lactobacillales; Lactobacillaceae.
UUAGAGCGCACGCCUGAUAAGCGUGAGGUCGGUGGUUCGAGUCCACUUAGGCCCAUCAUGGGGAAUUAGCUCAGCUGGGAGAGCACCUGCUUUGCAAGCAGGAGGUCAUCGGUUCGAUCCCGAUAUUCUCCAUUGCUAGCCGCGAGGUUAGCGAGUUUGUACUUUGAAAACUAAAUAAUAUCAAUUUCUAAUAAAAUCAAGAAAACCGAGAACACCGCGUUAUUUGAGUUUUUAACGAAUUAUAAUCGCAUGCUCAACUAACUUGACUGAUCUACGAUCAGUAAGGUUAAGUUAUGAAGGGCGCAUGGUGAAUGCCUUGGUACUAGGAGCCGAUGAAGGACGGGACUAACACCGAUAUGCUUCGGGGAGCGGUAAGUACGCUUUGAUCCGGAGAUUUCCGAAUGGGGAAACCCAAUCAUCUUAGUCGAUGAUUACUUGAGCAGUGAAUUCAUAGCUGCCAAGAGGUAGACGCAGUGAACUGAAACAUCUUAGUAGCUGCAGGAAGAGAAAGAAAAUUCGAUUCCCUGAGUAGCGGCGAGCGAAACGGGAAGAGCCCAAACCACUGAGCUUGCUCAGUGGGGUUGUAGGACUGAACUUUGGAGUUACCAAAGAAUCAGGUAGUCGAAGUGGCUGGGAAGCCACACCAGAGAUGGUGAUAGUCCAGUAGACGAAACCUGGUUCUCUCCGUUCAGGAUCCUGAGUACGGCGGGACACGUGAAACCCCGUCGGAAUCCGCGAGGACCAUCUCGCAAGGCUAAAUACUCCCUAGUGACCGAUAGUGAA